AGAGUUUGAUCAUGGCUCAGGACGAACGCUGGCGGCGUGCUUAAGACAUGCAAGUCGAGCGGGGGGAGCAAUCUCCCCAGCGGCGGACGGGUGAGUAACACGUGGGGAAUCUGUCCAUGCCUCCGGGAUAACAGGCCGAAAGGCCUGCUAAUACGGGAUAAGCUCACGGCCGGGCAUCCGGUUGGGAGAAAAGGCGCUGCAAGGCGCUGGGGAUGGGGGACUCCGCGGCCCAUUAGCUAGUUGGCGGGGUAACGGCCCACCAAGGCGACGAUGGGUAGCCGGCCUGAGAGGGCGACCGGCCACACUGGGACUGAGACACGGCCCAGACUCCUACGGGAGGCAGCAGUCGGGAAUUUUGCACAAUGGCCGAAAGGCUGAUGCAGCAACGCCGCGUGAGUGAAGAAGGCCUUCGGGUUGUAAAGCUCUGUUGCCCGGGACGAACGGCGCCUUCAGGAAAUGGGAGGCGUAUGACGGUACCGGGUG
This 483-nucleotide ribosomal RNA is filed under the name uncultured Bacillota bacterium. RNAcentral describes it as "bacterial SSU rRNA". It matches the Rfam family "Bacterial small subunit ribosomal RNA", at positions 8 to 484 of the family's 1533-position model. The record is from RNAcentral. Lineage: Bacteria; Bacillati; Bacillota.